GUUUUGUUGGGGAACCAAAUGUGAGAGCUGUGAUUUUUGUCUUUGUUAGCAAUUAAAUGGGAUCUCAUGAAAGACUCUCAUUUUUCCAUCGCAAUUUUUUCAUGCUGCCACUGAUUUGAAAGUCACUUCUCACCCACUAGGAGAAAUCUCUGCAGAAUUCCCUAGCAACAACCUGAAUAAAGAAACAGCCACCUCGGGUAUGAGGAUGUUCCCGGGAUUAUCCGAACCCACCGCAGCGCCGUGAGGACGAGGAGAAGAUCCACGGGGUCACGGGGAGGAGAGUUCAGCUCCUCCAUGAUUUAUGGCUCAGUGGAGAUUACAGACACUUGUCUCCACAAGUGUGACUCUGCAGUGUUUCUGCUUGGCCGCUGCCCAACCCCGGGGAUGAGUGACUGCGCCCAGCUCCUGGAUGCCCUCCUGUCGCAGCCGGAGCCGCAGCGAGUGCAGGUCAGCCCAGCCCAGCAGACUGCAGAGAGAAGCCAAAUGCUUCGUGUUCGAUAAAACCACGGGUCAGAACCACGAUGCCCUCCCUGCAUCGAGACAAGGAAUCACAGAUUGGUGCAGGAACACGAACAUUAAUCAUUUCUAUCCGUGUCUCUUCCUAUUUACUCUGUGGUACUUCAGUCUCCAGUGUGCAGUAGAGCCAGUUGCUGUUUUGCCACUGAAAAUAUUCCCAGCAGAAAAUGCAGCUUUGUGAAGACCCAGAGUUGUUCAAGGAGAAGAGACUGUCUGGAAGAAAAUGAUCACAUUUUCAUCACUUCUUUUUUUUUUUUUUUUGUUCUGAAUUGACAUCCCAGCUCUACAUGCUCUGAAUUUUGCAUUCAGAGAAUUGAAUUCUAUUAAAAAGUGUGGAAAAAGGGCUCCAAGCUGAACUGUUUCUGGAUUUGAAACAUCACCUCCUCAUAUUUUCUCCUUGCAGCUCAGAAUUACAAACAAAUGUUGAGAAAAGGCCUUACCCAGGACAUAACCUCUUUAUUUCCUGAUCAAACUCCACUAAAGAGCUUGAAAGCUGGGAACUGCAGAUGUCUCAAGCUGCCAACCAUCAUUUUGGUAAUGGGUAAGCUUAUUCUGCUCUGCAGGAGAGGACUGGAAAGACUUGGCAAGAAAGAGGAUUGGAAUAAAAUAAAAAAGAAAUAAAAUAAAAAGAAGAAAAUGGCCGUGAUUGAAUGUGGAUG
Molecule: long non-coding RNA, 1175 nt
Organism: Catharus ustulatus (Swainson's thrush)
Lineage: Eukaryota; Metazoa; Chordata; Aves; Passeriformes; Turdidae
Exons: 3
Source: RefSeq, a predicted model, not a curated record